Molecule: ribosomal RNA, 465 nt
Filed under: uncultured bacterium
Lineage: Bacteria
Description: partial 16S ribosomal RNA
Rfam family: Bacterial small subunit ribosomal RNA
Source: RNAcentral
CCUACGGGUGGCUGCAGUGGGGAAUAUUGCGCAAUGGGCGAAAGCCUGACGCAGCGACGCCGCGUGAAGGAUGAAGGUCUUCGGAUCGUAAACCUCUGUCAGCAGGGAAGAACGGUCACUGUGCUAAUCAGCAGUGAAUUGACGGUACCUGCAAAGGAAGCACCGUCUAACUCCGUGCCAGCAGCCGCGGUCAUACGGAGGGUGCGAGCGUUGAUCGGAAUUACUGGGCGUAAAGCGCACGGAGGCGGUAUGUCAAGUCAAGGGGUAAAUCCCCGGGCUCAACGUGGGAACUGCCUUUGAAACUGGUGAACUGGAGUGUGUGAGAGGAUAGUGGAAUGCCAGGUGUAGGAGUGAAAUCCGUAGAUAUCUGGAGGAACAUCGGUGGCGAAGGCGACUAUCUGGCACAUAACUGACGCUGAGGAGCGAAAGCGUGGGUAGCAAACAGGAUUAGAUACCCGGGUAGUC